CCCUUAGAUGUUCUGGGCUGCACGCGCGCUACACUGAUACUUUCAGCGAGUCCACCACCUUGCCUGGGAGGGUGGGGUAACCUCUGGAAAGUGCAUCGUGAUGGGGAUCGAUUAUUGUAAUUAUUAAUCUUCAACGAGGAAUUCCUAGUAAGCAUGUGUCAUCAGCCCGUGCUGAUUACGUCCCUGCCCUUUGUACACACCGCCCGUCGCUCCUACCGAUUGAGUGAGCCGAUGAAACUGCCGGAUGUGGACUAUUCAUAGUCUGCAGAAGAUAUUUGAAUCGUAGCGCUUAGAGGAAGGAGAAGUCGUAACA
Molecule: ribosomal RNA, 313 nt
Filed under: uncultured eukaryote
Lineage: Eukaryota
Description: partial 18S ribosomal RNA
Rfam family: Eukaryotic small subunit ribosomal RNA
Source: RNAcentral